This 253-nucleotide ribosomal RNA is filed under the name uncultured bacterium. RNAcentral's name for it is "partial 16S ribosomal RNA". It matches the Rfam family "Bacterial small subunit ribosomal RNA", at positions 524 to 776 of the family's 1533-position model. The record is from RNAcentral.
UACGGGGGGGGCAAGCGUUGUUCGGAAUUACUGGGCGUAAAGGGCUCGUAGGCGGCCAUCUAAGUCAGACGUGAAAUCCCUCGGCUUAACCGGGGAACUGCGUCUGAUACUGGUUGGCUUGAAUCCGGGAGAGGGAUGUGGAAUUCCAGGUGUAGCGGUGAAAUGCGUAGAUAUCUGGAGGAACACCGGUGGCGAAGGCGGCAUCCUGGACCGGUAUUGACGCUGAACGGCGAAAGCUAGGGGAGCAAACGGG